GGGCUUGUGGUCUAGUGGUAUGAUUUCUGUUUUGCAAUGUCUCCUUCGGGUCGACGUUCCAAGCUCUACAGACGGUCCCGCGUUCGAUCCGCGGAUGGUCCA
Molecule: non-coding RNA, 102 nt
Organism: Schizothecium vesticola
Lineage: Eukaryota; Fungi; Ascomycota; Sordariomycetes; Sordariales; Schizotheciaceae
Source: the annotation of a GenBank genome assembly